UCUGACAACUCUUGUGUGUGUGUGU
This 25-nucleotide non-coding RNA is filed under the name Mus musculus (house mouse). The record is from RNAcentral. Lineage: Eukaryota; Metazoa; Chordata; Mammalia; Rodentia; Muridae.